AGAGCAGAAGAUAACCGUGUUGACAGCGUAGUGUCUCCUGAAGAACAGCCUGAAGGAACCAACAGAGAGAACCUCUUUAACACAAGUUUAAAGCAGCGUUGAACACUCACUUCCUCUGGUUGUCGGUCAGUGUGAUGCCCUGAGCCGACACUUUGAAGUGGACCACGGUGGAGGCGGGUGGCGGGUCCAUGGAGAGCGUCAUCGUGGUCGCCUUCUGCACCGCCUGGUGUCCGGUCAGAGACUCCAGAGCCACAGAGCCCAGCCUCACUGACUGAGCUGACAGAGCGGCCUGCACCUCAUCGUACUGAGCAGCAGGGGGCAGCAGAGGGAACACAUUGUGUCCUGCGACGGUGGUGGCCUCAUGGAUACAAACUGCUCAGUGGACUGACUCACACUAACAGCACUUUAAAUGUAGUUUCCAUGUGUUCUGGCCUCGUGCUGAUGGAGAACAUUACUGUCACCAGAAGAUUCACUGUUUAAGGAUAUUUUCUGCUUUUCUUCCACAACAACAUCAGAGCUGGAUAAUGUUCUUUAUACCCUCCAGUAUUUAUCAGUAUGGCCUUAUUUACAUGUCAAUAACCUCCUCUAAGAUAAGAACCAUAUUACAAAGCUCCAGUUACCUGACAUUGUGCAGGUACGAUUUUAUUAUUUAAAUAACUUUAGCUCCAAAAGGUUGUCCGUGUAGGUUCUCAGACAUCCAGGUCUUGGUACUUGGUUGAAUAUUUUAGAGACAUGUCACCUCUCCUCCUCUCUGAAGAAGCCUUUCAGAAGGAGAGGUGUAACAUCUUAACGAUCUUCAACCAAGUCCAGUUACUUUGGAUCAAACUUAGAAUCUCCUAAAUUUUGUGCAAUGACGCAGUUUGCAUGUAUAACGUCUCGAGCAGCUUUGGCAUUAAAACACUGUUUACACAGAGAACUAAAACAACAAGUUUGAUAUCUUGAUGUCAUUGAGGAAUGUUGAAUCUGUUCAGUCUGUGUCGUUUCCACUUGUUUCGCUAUGUCCCAGAGCUCUCGUUGUGAAUAUUCGCUCUGAAAAGCUGAUAAAAAUCACAUAUAACCAA
Labrus bergylta (ballan wrasse) is the source of this 1061-nucleotide long non-coding RNA. RefSeq lists it as uncharacterized. NCBI's taxonomy places the organism in Eukaryota, Metazoa, Chordata, Actinopteri, Labriformes, Labridae. The record is from RefSeq and is a predicted model, not a curated record.